This 253-nucleotide ribosomal RNA is filed under the name uncultured bacterium. Its description in RNAcentral is "partial 16S ribosomal RNA". It matches the Rfam family "Bacterial small subunit ribosomal RNA", at positions 524 to 776 of the family's 1533-position model. The record is from RNAcentral.
CACGGGGGGAGCAAGCGUUGUUCGGAAUCACUGGGCGUAAAGGGCGUGCAGGCGGUCAGGUAAGUGGGAUGUGAAAUGCCCCGGCUCACCCGGGGACCGGCAUCUCAUACUGCUUGGCUUGAGUACGGGAGAGGAUGUGGGAAUUCCUGGUGUAGCGGUGAAAUGCGUAGAUAUCAGGAGGAACACCGGUGGCGAAGGCGGGUCUCUGGGCCGUAACUGACGCUGAGGAGCGAAAGCGUGGGGAGCGAACAGG